AGAGUUUGAUCAUGGCUCAGGAUAAACGCUGGCGGCGCACAUAAGACAUGCAAGUCGAACGGACAGAAUCCGAAUGUUUCAUUUGGAGGAUGUUAGUGGCGGACUGGUGAGUAACGCGUGAGGAACCUGCCUUGGAGUGGGGAAUAACAGUCCGAAAGGACUGCUAAUACCGCAUAAUGCAGUUGGGCCGCAUGGCUCUGACUGCCAAAGAUUUAUCGCUCUGAGAUGGCCUCGCGUCUGAUUAGCUAGUAGGCGGGGUAACGGCCCACCUAGGCGACGAUCAGUAGCCGG
This 291-nucleotide ribosomal RNA is filed under the name uncultured bacterium. Its description in RNAcentral is "partial 16S ribosomal RNA". It matches the Rfam family "Bacterial small subunit ribosomal RNA", at positions 8 to 290 of the family's 1533-position model. The record is from RNAcentral.